GUUCCAUAAUCCUUUUCUAAAAAUUCUUUGUGUGCAUGGUGCAUGAUUCAUUCAUCAUAUCUCAUAAUAAUGAUCAAGAAGGGGCUUCAUCAUGAGAAAAAAAAUUCCCACACCAGAACCAAUGAAAAUAAAAAAGAGGAGGGAUGAGAGGUUUCCAGCUAACAAAUGAUUAAUAUGGUUCCAUCUCUUAUCAUAAUGCAUGAUAAUACUUUAAGAGAAAAAUUAUUAAAAACUUGCUUUUAUUACUGUGUAGUAGAUCAUUUAAAAAUUUUCCAUAUGAAAUAAGAGAACUGUUUCCAAUUCUCUUCUCACAUAUGGAAUAUUCUUUUAAUCUCAAUCCUCCUAUACAAUAUUCGAUAAAUAUUAGACAGCAAAUAGAAUUGGAUAAUCAUUAGACAGGCAGUAGGGGAUGUGAUUCCCAUUAUUUAUUGCCCUGUGAAGGCAGAAGAAGAAGCAGAACUUCGGUUGAGAAGUGAAAGGUAAUAAAUUCCAAACAUCAGUAUGUGG
RNAcentral lists this long non-coding RNA (507 nucleotides) under Marmota monax (woodchuck). The record is from RNAcentral. Lineage: Eukaryota; Metazoa; Chordata; Mammalia; Rodentia; Sciuridae.